GGCAGUGGGGCAGCUAUACAUGCAGUCGAGCGGACAGAUGGGAGCUUGCUCCCUGAUGUUAGCGGCGGACGGGUGAGUAACACGUGGGUAACCUGCCUGUAAGACUGGGAUAACUCCGGGAAACCGGGGCUAAUACCGGAUGCUUGUUUGAACCGCAGGUUCAAACAUAAAAGGUGGCUUCGGCUACCACUUACAGAUGGACCCGCGGCGCAUUAGCUAGUUGGUGAGGUAACGGCUCACCAAGGCAACGAUGCGUAGCCAACCUGAGAGGGUGAUCGGCCACACUGGGACUGAGACACGGCCCAGACUCCUACGGGAGGCAGCAGUAGGGAAUCUUCCGCAAUGGACGAAAGUCUGACGGAGCAACGCCGCGUGAGUGAUGAAGGUUUUCGGAUCGUAAAGCUCUGUUGUUAGGGAAGAACAAGUACCGUUCAAAUAGGGCGGUACCUUGACGGUACCUAACCAGAAAGCCACGGCUAACUACGUGCCAGCAGCCGCGGUAAUACGUAGGUGGCAAGCGUUGUCCGGAAUUAUUGGGCGUAAAGGGCUCGCAGGCGGUUCCUUAAGUCUGAUGUGAAAGCCCCCGGCUCAACCGGGGAGGGUCAUUGGAAACUGGGGAACUUGAGUGCAGAAGAGGAGAGUGGAAUUCCACGUGUAGCGGUGAAAUGCGUAGAGAUGUGGAGGAACACCAGUGGCGAAGGCGACUCUCUGGUCUGUAACUGACGCUGAGGAGCGAAAGCGUGGGGAGCGAACAGGAUUAGAUACCCUGGUAGUCCACGCCGUAAACGAUGAGUGCUAAGUGUUAGGGGGGUUUCCGCCCCUUAGUGCUGCAGCUAACGCAUUAAGCACUCCGCCUGGGGGAGUACGGUCGCAAGACUGAAACUCAAAGGAAUUGACGGGGGCCCGCACAAGCGGUGGAGCAUGUGGUUUAAUUUCGAAGCAACGCGAAGAACCUUACCAGGUCUUGGACAUCCUCUGACAUCCCUAGAGAUAGGGACGU
This 1000-nucleotide ribosomal RNA is filed under the name Bacillus zhangzhouensis. RNAcentral's name for it is "bacterial SSU rRNA". It matches the Rfam family "Bacterial small subunit ribosomal RNA", at positions 38 to 1015 of the family's 1533-position model. Lineage: Bacteria; Bacillati; Bacillota; Bacilli; Caryophanales; Bacillaceae. The record is from RNAcentral.